GCUAGCGUCGCUCCGUCCUGGGCUUUGCUGGGGAGCUGUAGUUGGACUUGGGUGGGGGAGGGUCCCGUUAAAGCAGCAGUUCUCGACCUGUGGGUCGCGACCCUCGCGGGGACCCAACGAUCCUUUUAUAAGGGUUGCCUGAGAUCUUCGGAAAACACUAAGAUUCAUAACAGCAGCAAAAUUACAGCUAAGUAGCAACAGAAAUUUAUGGUUGGGAGUCACCACAAUAUGAGGAACAGUAUUAAAGGAUCUCCGCAAUGGGAAGGUUGAGAAUCACUGCUUCCGAGACACCCAAGCGCCAAAGCCGGGGAAGUGGGUGGAGAAAUGGGUGUUGGAAGGGACAGGAUGGGGAAGAAACCCGGAAGACUUAGGGAUGGUUAGGGUCAUUUUAAUUAUCUCUAGAAGUCGGCCGGUUGGUAUCAACGGAGAAUUCAUUUCGAGUUCGCGGAAUGAAACUCGCUUGCGCCCCAGCAAGUCUAGCCUCAGUCCACGCAGCUCUACCCUCACCCCUCUUCCGGCGCCACCACGGCGAACCGACCUGGGGCUCUAAGCGACAGACGCCCUGUGUGCGUUGUUUCUGGGAUCGGAAGAGGCAGCCGAACUCUACGCGUGAUUCCCCACCACGGUGAACAGGGAUCCCGGCGGACCUCAGACCUACAUCCCAUCUACUCCUGGCUCUCUAACCUCAACGCUGUUGAGCAUGAACUUUGUCCCUGGCCUUUGCUGCUGUAAUGCUGUUAUGAACAUUUGCUUAAGAGUUUGUCUACACACGGCUCUUCAAAUUCUCCCAGGUUAGUAACCGAGGAGGAGAAUUUCUGUGUCAUCUACUUUCUGGCUAUUUUUUCUGUCUUUAUUGGAAAGAUUGUCUAUUUAGAAUUUUGGGUUUUGUUUUGUUUUCCUAUUUAAUAUUUGUUAUUGAGAUGUAGGAAUACAUUUCGGGUAUUUUCUCCUGUGUAUAUUGCUUUUAUUUCUUUUGGUGAUAGCCUUCAUGGCAUAGAAGUCAAAUUCAUUACUUUCUCUUGUGUUUGUACUUUUGGUGUCAUAUCUAAGACCAAUGAAGAAUUUUUAUACUGCUGUAGUAACUAACUAUAGGCAUGGAGGGGCAGCUGGACAAUAUGAUAGGUACCUGAGACAGGAGGAUCACAUAAAACCCAAGAGUCUGAGACACCUGAAGUCAAUAUAGAGUCCCUGUAUCCAAAAUAAAAUUAAGAUGGAGAAAUGUUAAGGGAAUUUGUACUUUUUAGUUUCAGAAUUGAAGGUAACUGGUUGGGGGCUGGAGAGAUGGCUCAGAGGUUGAGAGCAUUGACUGUUCUUCCAAAGGUCCUGAGUUCAAAUCCCAGCAACCACAUGGUGGCUCACAAUUCUCCGUAAUGAGAUCUGAUGCCUUCUUCUGGGGCCUCUGAAGACAGCUACAGUGUACUCACAUAUAAUAAAUAAAUCUUUAAAGAAGAAGAAGAACAUAACUGGUUAUGAGCUGAACAAACCCCACGAUUUGUGCUGCGUAGUUCAGCGGCUGAAAUGAGCCACAAAAUAGGAGUAAUGUACCUUAAAGGGGCUUGGGGGAGACUGCUCUGGCUCACUCUCCUCUGAAACUUGGAAAGGCAGUAAAACACAGCGAGCAAAGGCAAUGAAAAAAAAAAACCCUCUGACCAUAAUGUUCUCCAGGGAAAUUAAAAUGCUGUGAAUUCAAUAUUUUUUUUUCUGGGGAAGCUGGAAAGACGGCUUAACCAGUUAGUGCUGAUGUACAGCCACGGUGACCCGAGUUCAGAUCCCAGCAUGUGGGCGUGGCUGAGUGUGCCCAUGACCCUAGCACUGUGCUGGCCUGAAACAGGAUUGCUGGGGUUUGCUGGCCUACAGCCAAGCUACUGAUAAACCCGCCUCAAGGGGAUGAGGCAGAGGCUGGAAGAGCAGGACACCCAGAGUCCUCCCAGGAGCACCUGAGGCGGCGUGUGCAUCCUUACAUCUGCCCCCGACACGCAUAAUAGGUAAGUAAAUAAAUAGGGUUUGAUAGGAAUGACUCUAGCACCUGAGAGGUAAGGACAGGACGAUCAUCAACAUCAACCACACCAACUCUGGAACACACACAGUUAUGUUAGAAACUACCUAUUUUGAGUUAGGAUGCUCCAAACAGCAGGAUUGGUGGAGCCAUGAUGGUAGCACUUUGGUUAAAAUUAUCUGUUUAAAUUCUUCUGGAUUUUUUUUUUUUUUUUAAGAUGGCACAUGUUAUCUAAAUAUACUGGAUUUGAUGACCAGUUCCUGCAUGGUGCUCUCAAUCAUUUUAACUCCAGUUCUAGGGGAUCUGAUACUUUUUUUGUUUUGUUUUGUUUUUUUGUUUUUUAAGACAGGGUCUCUCUUAUAGCCCUGGCUGUCCUGGAGCUCACUCUGUAGACCAGGCUGGUCUCGAAGUCAGAAAUCCGCCUGCCGCUGCCUCCCAGAGUGCUGGGAUUACAGGCGUGCGCCACCACCGCCCGGCUGAUACUUUCUUCUGAUGUCUGGGCACAAACAUACAUGCAGGCAAACAUAAAGCAGGAUUUUAUUUAUUUUUAAGUAACAGGGUCUCACUAUGUAGCCCAGGCACCCUCCCUUCUGUUGGGAUUAAAAGAGUUCAUGGUCAAGUGAAAAGACAUUAAGUUAACAAACAUAUAAAAAUGUAUGCACGGUUUGAAAUGUAAAUUAUUCUUAGAACACUUUCAGUGGGAGCUGCAUUACCCUAUUAGUGCCUUAAUUUGAGAGAAGUUUUUUACUGCCACGAGUACAGACUUUUCAGAAAACAGAUUUUACAAAAAAUUGUUUUUCCCCCAUUGGUAAUUGAUUUAAUUUAAAAUAUAGAGGGUUUGGGGGCUUUUAUAAAUUGAAUAAAACCGUUAUACCAAACUACCUGCUACAAUAGUGAAACUAUCUGCAAAAACAUAUACAGUUGUACCAAUAGUAAAGAAUAAUGAAAUAUAUCCAUAAAGUUUUUCAUAGGAAUGACAUAGGAAUUACCAUAUAAAUACUGUUCAACUCUCCUCUGGUAACAAGAGUUGAUGUCUAUGGGCAGUGUGAUUUAUUGUUUGUUUGUUUGUUUGUUUUAAACAACUCAGUAAUUUAUAAUAGCUUUGCAGUAAUAUGUAUCAAAUAAGCACUAGAAAAACCAAUCCUUCUCUAGGGUGAUAUGCAUGUUUCAAGUGGUAUUGAAAGUCGCACUGAUGGAUAUGUAGUAAUAAACAUAUCUAUUAUUAAUAUGCUAAUGCCUGUGCUCAUUUAAUGAGAAAUAAAAAAAAGAUUCAUGGUCA
Molecule: long non-coding RNA, 3275 nt
Organism: Apodemus sylvaticus (European woodmouse)
Lineage: Eukaryota; Metazoa; Chordata; Mammalia; Rodentia; Muridae
Exons: 2
Source: RefSeq, a predicted model, not a curated record